This 467-nucleotide ribosomal RNA is filed under the name uncultured bacterium. RNAcentral describes it as "partial 16S ribosomal RNA". It matches the Rfam family "Bacterial small subunit ribosomal RNA", at positions 28 to 507 of the family's 1533-position model. The record is from RNAcentral.
GACGAACGCUGGCGGCGUGCUUAACACAUGCAAGUCGAACGAUGACGACCGAGCUUGCUCGGUCUGACUAGUGGCGAACGGGUGAGUAACACGUGAGCAACCUGCCCUUCACUCUGGGAUAACCUCGGGAAAUCGGGGCUAAUACCGGAUAUGAGCUCCUGUCGCAUGGCGGGUGUUGGAAAGUUUUUCGGUGAAGGAUGGGCUCGCGGCCUAUCAGUUUGUUGGUGGGGUAGUGGCUCACCAAGGCGAUGACGGGUAGCCGGCCUGAGAGGGCGACCGGCCACACUGGGACUGAGACACGGCCCAGACUCCUACGGGAGGCAGCAGUGGGGAAUAUUGCACAAUGGGCGAAAGCCUGAUGCAGCGACGCCGCGUGAGGGAUGACGGCCUUCGGGUUGUAAACCUCUUUCAGCAGGGAAGAAGCGAGAGUGACGGUACCUGCAGAAGAAGCGCCGGCUAACUACGUG